RNAcentral lists this microRNA precursor (150 nucleotides) under Malus domestica (apple). RNAcentral also lists the same sequence under 1 other name. The record is from RNAcentral. Lineage: Eukaryota; Viridiplantae; Streptophyta; Magnoliopsida; Rosales; Rosaceae.
GAGAGAAGAGCUUGUCACGUCGCCAAGGCGUGACUGCCUGAGAACUCAACUAGGGUUUUUCUGAUUUUUAUCGUGUAAUAAACCUCUUUACUCUUUAGGAUCGAGGCUGCAGGCAAAUCAUCCUUGGCUACCAAACAAGGCUCCUUCUUC